CAUGUAUUACCUCUGUCCCAAAUUAGUCGUCUUAGAUUUGUCUAGAUAUGGAUGUAUCCAACACUAAGAUGUGUCUAGAUACAUCCGCAUCUAGACAAAUCUAAGUCAACUAAUUCGGGAUGGAGGGAGUAUAUC
This is a non-coding RNA of Triticum aestivum (bread wheat), 135 nucleotides long. The record is from Rfam. Lineage: Eukaryota; Viridiplantae; Streptophyta; Magnoliopsida; Poales; Poaceae.